Molecule: ribosomal RNA, 253 nt
Filed under: uncultured bacterium
Lineage: Bacteria
Description: partial 16S ribosomal RNA
Rfam family: Bacterial small subunit ribosomal RNA
Source: RNAcentral
UACGUAGGUGGCAAGCGUUGUCCGGAUUUAUUGGGUUUAAAGGGUGCGUAGGCGGUCUAUUAAGUCAGUGGUGAAAUACGGCAGCUUAACUGUCGAGGUGCCAUUGAUACUGGUAGACUUGAGUACUGAUGAGGUAGGCGGAAUGGACGGUGUAGCGGUGAAAUGCUUAGAGAUCGUCCAGAACACCGAUAGCGAAGGCAGCUUACUAAAGAGUAACUGACGCUGAGGCACGAAAGUGUGGGGAUCAAACAGG